RNAcentral lists this ribosomal RNA (271 nucleotides) under uncultured bacterium. Its description in RNAcentral is "partial 16S ribosomal RNA". It matches the Rfam family "Bacterial small subunit ribosomal RNA", at positions 82 to 354 of the family's 1533-position model. The record is from RNAcentral.
UCUAUGUCGGCGACCGGCGCACGGGUGCGUAACGCGUAUGCAACCUACCCAUUACAGGGGGAUAACACUGAGAAAUCGGUACUAAUACCCCAUAACAUCCAGGGAGGCAUCUUCUUGGGUUGAAAACUCCGGGGGUAAUGGAUGGGCAUGCGUUGUAUUAGUUAGUUGGUGGGGUAACGGCUCACCAAGACAACGAUACAUAGGGGGACUGAGAGGUUAACCCCCCACAUUGGUACUGAGACACGGACCAAACUCCUACGGGAGGCAGCAG